This 76-nucleotide transfer RNA is filed under the name Sebaldella termitidis. Its description in RNAcentral is "tRNA-Lys". It matches the Rfam family "tRNA". Rfam says of the family: Transfer RNA (tRNA) molecules are approximately 80 nucleotides in length. Their secondary structure includes four short double-helical elements and three loops (D, anti-codon, and T loops). Lineage: Bacteria; Fusobacteriati; Fusobacteriota; Fusobacteriia; Fusobacteriales; Leptotrichiaceae. RNAcentral also lists the same sequence under 15 other names. The record is from RNAcentral.
GAGCCAUUAGCUCAGUCGGUAGAGCACAUGACUUUUAAUCAUGGUGUCACUGGUUCGAUUCCAGUAUGGCUCACCA